UGGGCAACCUGCCCCUAGCUCUGGGAUAACUGCGGGAAACUGUAGCUAAUACCGGAUGUGACACGAGACUGCAUGGUCUUCGUGUGGAAAGAUUUAUCGGCUAGGGAUGGGCCCGCGGUCUAUCAGCUUGUUGGUGGGUAAUGGCUCACCGAGGCGACGACGGAUAACCGGCCUGAGAGGGCGACCGGUCACACUGGGACUGAGACACGGCCCAGACCUCCGUACGGGAG
RNAcentral lists this ribosomal RNA (230 nucleotides) under uncultured bacterium. RNAcentral's name for it is "partial 16S ribosomal RNA". It matches the Rfam family "Bacterial small subunit ribosomal RNA", at positions 118 to 347 of the family's 1533-position model. The record is from RNAcentral.